RNAcentral lists this ribosomal RNA (433 nucleotides) under uncultured bacterium. RNAcentral describes it as "bacterial SSU rRNA". It matches the Rfam family "Bacterial small subunit ribosomal RNA", at positions 29 to 507 of the family's 1533-position model. The record is from RNAcentral.
AACGAACGCUGGCGGCAUGCCUAACACAUGCAAGUCGAACGAAGUCUUCGGACUUAGUGGCGCACGGGUGCGUAACGCGUGGGAAUCUGCCCUUGGGUACGGAAUAACUCAGGGAAACUUGAGCUAAUACCGGAUGACGACGAAAGUCCAAAGAUUUAUCGCCGAGGGAUGAGCCCGCGUAGGAUUAGGUAGUUGGUGGGUUAAAGGCCUACCAAGCCGACGAUCCUUAGCUGGUCUGAGAGGAUGAUCAGCCACACUGGGACUGAGACACGGCCCAGACUCCUACGGGAGGCAGCAGUGGGGAAUAUUGGACAAUGGGGGAAACCCUGAUCCAGCAAUGCCGCGUGAGUGAUGAAGGCCUUAGGGUCGUAAAGCUCUUUUACCAGGGAUGAUAAUGACAGUACCUGGAGAAUAAGCUCCGGCUAACUCCGUG